RNAcentral lists this ribosomal RNA (572 nucleotides) under Penicillium commune. Its description in RNAcentral is "eukaryotic LSU rRNA". The stretch from base 197 to 349 matches the Rfam family "5.8S ribosomal RNA". The record is from RNAcentral. Lineage: Eukaryota; Fungi; Ascomycota; Eurotiomycetes; Eurotiales; Aspergillaceae.
GACCUGCGGAAGGAUCAUUACCGAGUGAGGGCCCUCUGGGUCCAACCUCCCACCCGUGUUUAUUUUACCUUGUUGCUUCGGCGGGCCCGCCUUAACUGGCCGCCGGGGGGCUUACGCCCCCGGGCCCGCGCCCGCCGAAGACACCCUCGAACUCUGUCUGAAGAUUGAAGUCUGAGUGAAAAUAUAAAUUAUUUAAAACUUUCAACAACGGAUCUCUUGGUUCCGGCAUCGAUGAAGAACGCAGCGAAAUGCGAUACGUAAUGUGAAUUGCAAAUUCAGUGAAUCAUCGAGUCUUUGAACGCACAUUGCGCCCCCUGGUAUUCCGGGGGGCAUGCCUGUCCGAGCGUCAUUGCUGCCCUCAAGCCCGGCUUGUGUGUUGGGCCCCGUCCCCCGAUCUCCGGGGGACGGGCCCGAAAGGCAGCGGCGGCACCGCGUCCGGUCCUCGAGCGUAUGGGGCUUUGUCACCCGCUCUGUAGGCCCGGCCGGCGCUUGCCGAUCAACCCAAAUUUUUAUCCAGGUUGACCUCGGAUCAGGUAGGGAUACCCGCUGAACUUAAGCAUAUCAAUAAGAGC